AUUGAACGCUGGCGGCAGGCCUAACACAUGCAAGUCGAGCGGCAGCGCGGGGCAACCUGGCGGCGAGCGGCGAACGGGUGAGUAAUACAUGGGAAUCUGCCUGGUAGUGGGGGAUAACUCUGGGAAACUAGAGGUAAUACCGCAUACGUCCUACGGGAGAAAGCGGGGGAUCUUCGGACCUCGCGCUAUCAGAGGAGCCCAUGUCCGAUUAGCUAGUUGGUGAGGUAAAGGCUCACCAAGGCGACGAUCGGUAACUGGUCUGAGAGGAUGGUCAGUCACACUGGAACUGAGACACGGUCCAGACUCCUACGGGAGGCAGCAGUGGGGAAUAUUGGACAAUGGGGGCAACCCUGAUCCAGCCAUGCCGCGUGUGUGAAGAAGGCC
RNAcentral lists this ribosomal RNA (384 nucleotides) under uncultured bacterium. RNAcentral describes it as "bacterial SSU rRNA". It matches the Rfam family "Bacterial small subunit ribosomal RNA", at positions 29 to 416 of the family's 1533-position model. The record is from RNAcentral.